GUGUUGUAUAAAAGGAGAGACAGGGAUGGAAGAGGCCCUCAGGCCUGACGACACACACACGGUUAGGACACUGCCACCUACUUUGUGGCAUCUAACCAUAGUUUUUU
Pteropus vampyrus (large flying fox) is the source of this 107-nucleotide small nuclear RNA. NCBI's taxonomy places the organism in Eukaryota, Metazoa, Chordata, Mammalia, Chiroptera, Pteropodidae. The record is from Ensembl.